GAAAUGCGAUAAGUAAUGUGAAUUGCAGAAUUCAGUGAACCAUCGAAUCUUUGAACGCACAUUGCGCCCCCUGGUAUUCCGGGGGGCAUGUCCGUCCGAGCGUCAUUGCAACCCUCGAGCCUGCCUCGGUGUUGGGUCUCGCCGGUUCCCCGGCGGAUCUCAAAUGUAGCCAUCGGCGCUCCAGCGGCCUCAAGCGAAGUACAGUCUCCCGCUUUGGAGGUCCCCGGGGCGCCGCGCUCAUGUGAUCAUCGGUUGACCUCGGAUCGGGCAGGGAUACCCGCUGAACUUAA
RNAcentral lists this unclassified non-coding RNA (290 nucleotides) under uncultured Ascomycota. RNAcentral describes it as "sequence contains ITS1". The stretch from base 1 to 105 matches the Rfam family "5.8S ribosomal RNA", at positions 50 to 154 of the family's 154-position model. Lineage: Eukaryota; Fungi; Ascomycota. The record is from RNAcentral.